RNAcentral lists this long non-coding RNA (897 nucleotides) under Nicotiana benthamiana. RNAcentral describes it as "long non-coding RNA (NBEN_LNC016298)". Lineage: Eukaryota; Viridiplantae; Streptophyta; Magnoliopsida; Solanales; Solanaceae. The record is from RNAcentral.
AAUACGUUAUAACUACAUAAAUAUUUUGGUGUAUUUAAGCCCGCAGAUUUCAACAAUCUUCAUUUUCUUUUUAAUCUUUAUGCUGAAUUAUACUACAUCAUAUAAAUUAAAAUGUAGGGAGUAGGAGAUAAAGCUUCACCAAGAAGAAGAAAUAAUAAACUUACAGACGCGCUAUAAAUUAUCUUAAACAAAUGAACGUGUCUCCACUUUAUUACCUACAAAAUUUUAUAACAAUAACUUUUACAAUCUAGAAAUAGUGAUAAUGUUUCUUGGAAGCUCCAUGCAUGCAGAGUUAACAUUCACAGAAGAAUUAAUUGACCUAUAAUCUACACGAGCCAAAAGACAAGCUCUACUGCAUGACUCCACAACCACAAGAAUUAUCGACUAAUUCAGCAUCCGCCACCACCAUCACCACCGCUUUUAUAGCCGUCUCCACCACCGCCACUGCACCCGCCUCCCCACCAUAAUCACCUCCUCCAUCUCCAUAGUAGUGCCCACCGCGGCCCCAUCGGCUUUUCUUGCCGUUAGAGGAGUCUCCACUAAGCAAAAAUGACCAUUGAUAUCAUCAAAAUAGACAUAACCACUAUUCCCACCAUUGUCAUCAGCCCCGAACCCUCAAUUGCUGAGCCACCAUCUCCCACGCCAUAUAUUAAUCGUGCCAUAUUUCUGUUUAGACUUUAAAUAAUUAAUUAUCUGAAGAAAUGACAAUAUCUUAACAAGUAAUAUAUAGGCGCCAUUAAGCGGCCUUUUGCGAUAUAUGUUUGGUUGUAGACUUUUCGUAUGAGUUGACCAUGUGUUGCUUCAUUGGCCCUGGAUCAAUCAUUGAAUCUGAUUAUUCUAAUGGGAAAAAUGCCUACUAGCCAUGUUCAACAAAGUUGCAACUUCAUCCAAAAGACC